UGGUGGCAUGGUUGUCGUCAGCUCGUGUCGUGAGAUGUUGGGUUAAGUCCCGCAACGAGCGCAACCCCUAUUGUUAGUUGCCAUCAUUCAGUUGGGCACUCUAGCGAGACUGCCGGUAAUAAACCGGAGGAAGGUGGGGAUGACGUCAAAUCAUCAUGCCCCUUAUGACCUGGGCUACACACGUGCUACAAUGGUUGGUACAACGAGUUGCGAGUCGGUGACGGCGAGCUAAUCUCUUAAAGCCAGUCUCAGUUCGGAUUGUAGGCUGCAACUCGCCUACAUGAAGUCGGAAUCGCUAGUAAUCGCGGAUCAGCACGCCGCGGUGAAUACGUUCCCGGGCCUU
This 343-nucleotide ribosomal RNA is filed under the name uncultured Streptococcus sp. RNAcentral describes it as "bacterial SSU rRNA". It matches the Rfam family "Bacterial small subunit ribosomal RNA", at positions 1039 to 1382 of the family's 1533-position model. The record is from RNAcentral. Lineage: Bacteria; Bacillati; Bacillota; Bacilli; Lactobacillales; Streptococcaceae.